ACCGAACCAAAUUAUACAAAACCUGAAAACCUGAACCAAAAAACUGAAACUGAAAAUUUUGGUUCAGUUUUUCAGUUUUAGCCAAAUAAUGCUCACCCCUACAAGGACACUCCUGAACCUGGAGUACCUUUGCUUGAAAAAAUGUUACUGCUGCAAAACUAAUAUCAGGAUGGAGAAAUGGUUAAAUGUUCACUUUUAUACUCCAGGUAAUGGAGAGUUUGCAAAACUUAACACAUUUUACAAGAGCUGUGGCUUGGACGCAAUCACAUCCAAAUGGUAAACCUGUGUGGACUAAGAUGCAUCAAGAAGAUUAGCUUGCAGAUCACCGCUUGAUAUCCAUGUUGGGAUUUCAGGAUUGUGUUUCUUUAGAAGAGCUAUACUUGAGCCAUAAUGGUAUUUCAAAGAUGGAAGGGCUAUCCACCUUGGUUAACCUGCGUGUUCUGGAUGUUUUUUCAAACGUGUUAACAACCAGAUGACAUUGAACACCUGACAAGGCUGGAGGAUCUGUGGCUCAGUGACAACCAAAUAGCAUAACUUGGAGGCACUGAUGUAGCUGUCACAGGUUCAAGGCAAAAGCUCACAACCAUUUAUCUUGAGCACAAUCCAUUUGUAUGGUUCCUAAGUUCAACAAGGCUCUAAUUGUUCUUCACUUAAUACCAAUUGCUCAUAUAUGUUAUUUCCAAUUUACUAUUGGUCUAUUGCUAUUUCUAUUGAAAGGUUAUACAUUCUCUUGGUUAUGUCUGUUUUUCUAGCAUAUUGAAGUUUUCUUUUGCCUUUUUCCCUAUUCCUGGUGGCAAAUCUGCCAAUUUUGGUCAUUCUUCGUGUACUUCUUGCAAAAGCCACUUCAAUGUAGAAGCACAACUAAGGCAGGUCAGGUUGUGGGCCAACCUGGGGCCAAACCUAGGAACUGGGAACUGCAACCUCACCUCCCACAAGGAUCAACCUGAGUUUUUCAACCUGWUCUCAGCCAAAAUCUAACUUAUUUGACUACAACUGAACCUGGUUGAGUUGUGCUAGGUCUAGUAUCAAGUAUUGGGCUUAUUUUGCUCUCUCUGCCAGUAACUAGCAAUUUAUUUUCAUUUUUUUAUUGAUUUAGCUAUUAAUUUAUCUGAUUCUGAUUUCUGAUAUGUUUAUGAAGUUUUAUUCCUAAGUGCAAUAUACCAUGAAUGUGAAAUUUUCUGGAAUAGAAAUUUUAGAGUUGGUAAUAGAAAUUUUGUGGGUGCAACUUAUCUAGGGCCAUUUCCUGUUCAUUCAAGUUUCUAAACCUGUAUUGAAUCUGAUGUAGCACCAGUGACCCUACUCUUGGGGCCACCUUCCACUGGUGUUCUAGUUUUUUAUUUUUUAUCACUAUAUGUCUUUUUUUGAUUAUUAUAUAUGUCAAAACCAUCAGAAUCAUCUUUCCUUAUUAUAUCACCUAUGGUUGCUCCAUCCAUCUUGAGAGUCUCAAUAUCAGCCAUUCUAUGAACAUGAUGCUUGUUGAUAGUUAAAUAUCUCACAACAAAAGGGGCAUGUAAUCGUGAUAUAAUCUCAUUAUGUUUUGCUUGAAUUUGAUUAGUGUAUAUAGGUUAUGUUGCACAAUUAGAAGCCCAGGUUCUCUCUUGUUGGCCAAAUCUGCUUCAAUUGGCCACAUCAUUCUCAAUUUACUUUCUGUAUGGAUAGCUCAACCAGGAAAAGGAACCAAACUUAUUGGAGUAGCUUCCCAGGUCUACUUUAUUCUUCUCACUUAACACUGCCACAGCAUAUCCUACUUCAAAUACUUUCUAUUUAUAGCUUUCUUCAGUUCUAUCUCGUUGGGGGCUUAAAUUAGUUGGACAAUCAUCAGAUAUGAGAUACAUUCCUACCAGCCACUGUUAAACAUUUCAUUUCUUAGUAGGUUCUUCAGAAUCGGUAUAUUACUUAUAUUUAUAGAACAGUGCGUGGAAGGGAAAAACUUAUUUUCUGAUGAUAUACUUCUAAUGUUAUCAUAUUAUGAUGUCUAUAUGUCUCAAUUUAACAAAUAAGAAGGUUUAUUGUCAAAUUACAGGUUAAAAAUAUUGUUGUCAAUUAUAAUAAGGUCUUAUCAGGUCAGACCUGAUAGCCCCAAUUAUAGACCCUAUAGGAUCUGGUUAAGAAAUGGUUCUGCACAUUUAUUUAUUGGGUUGGGACCUUAGUUAGCAUACUUAAUUAUGAACUGGUUCUAACACUUAUGCACAAUCUGUACAUAUCAAGGCUCAUUUGGUCUUUGAUAGUUCCUUUGCACCAAUGGUACGAUUGCUCUUGUUUUGCAGGCAACUCCAUCAAAUUACUCUGCUAUUCUUCAAAAUAUUUUCCCAAAUCUUCAGCAGAUUGAUUCAGAUUUCAGACAUAUUCUCCUAGGACUCCAAGCUUUUCCCUUCUUAUGCUAUUUCAAGGACAGUGUGAGUUCAUACUGAAAGCUCCAAGAAAAAUGGACCAACCUGAUACAAGUUGGUGCGGAUGAUGAAGUUAAUUUAUAUCGUAGGUUUAAAGGUUAGCUCAGUUGGUUCUUGAACAUUCCUUUUCCACAAGGAGAUGAGAAUGCAGCUCUAGAGCAGGGCUGGAUGAACGUACACAACUUUUUCAAUUGCAUCUGUCAAGAUAAAUUUGGUUACUGUAUAUCAUCUAAAUCUUACCCUCUCUUUGCACACACUUGGGUGGGGCUUUAUCUUCUUUUUUUAUGUUUUUUUUUUUUUUUCCUGCUAGUGGACCAGGAAUGGGAAUUUCUUGGAUUUGAUUCCCUCGUACAUUUUCAGCCAAGGAAUUGUAGACCCUUUGACUGAGAGGAGAGAUUAUAAUCCAAAUGGGUAGUGGAUGUAUUUAGGUCUAGAUUAUAAUUACUGUAAUUUGAUGAAUUUUUAUAUUUGUUUUCUUAUGGAUCGAAAUGAAUCUAUGAGCCUGUGGCUGCUACUGUUCGCUAUUGUCCACCGAUCAUGUGGAACAAAAUGUGGUAUCAGGUGUGGUACGUUCCUUGGUACUGUAAAAACCCCGACCAGCCCGGCCAUGCCCAUGAUCAUCUCUGUUUGGUAAUUGAUGGUACCCUUGUAUAAGGGUGCAGCUUGGGCUGGAUUAGCCCCAAUCCAACCCAAAAGGUUGAAGUUGGGUUAGGCUUAAUGUUGAAAAAUAUCAACCCAACUUCGGGUUGGGCUAGGGUUAAAGCUGACCCAGUCUGAAGUUAACAUGUGUUUAUAUUUGUAUAUGAGGCUGCGUUUGGUUGGAGGAAA
Non-coding RNA from Nelumbo nucifera (sacred lotus), 3218 nucleotides. The record is from RefSeq and is a predicted model, not a curated record. NCBI's taxonomy places the organism in Eukaryota, Viridiplantae, Streptophyta, Magnoliopsida, Proteales, Nelumbonaceae.